RNAcentral lists this ribosomal RNA (498 nucleotides) under uncultured bacterium. Its description in RNAcentral is "partial 16S ribosomal RNA". It matches the Rfam family "Bacterial small subunit ribosomal RNA", at positions 27 to 507 of the family's 1533-position model. The record is from RNAcentral.
GGAUGAACGCUGGCGGCGUGCCUACUCCAUGCAAGUCGAACGCAUAGCGAAAGGUGCUUGCACCUUUCAAGUGAGUGGCGAACGGGUGAGUAACACGUGGACAACCUGCCUCAAGGCUGGGGAUAACAUUUGGAAACAGAUGCUAAUACCGAAUAAAACUUAGUGUCGCAUGACACAAAGUUAAAAGGCGCUUCGGCGUCACCUAGAGAUGGAUCCGCGGUGCAUUAGUUAGUUGGUGGGGUAAAGGCCUACCAAGACAAUGAUGCAUAGCCGAGUUGAGAGACUGAUCGGCCACAUUGGGACUGAGACACGGCCCAAACUCCUACGGGAGGCUGCAGUAGGGAAUCUUCCACAAUGGGCGAAAGCCUGAUGGAGCAACGCCGCGUGUGUGAUGAAGGCUUUCGGGUCGUAAAGCACUGUUGUAUGGGAAGAACAGCUAGAAUAGGAAAUGAUUUUAGUUUGACGGUACCAUACCAGAAAGGGACGGCUAAAUACGUG